CCUACGGGUGGCUGCAGUGGGGAAUAUUGCACAAUGGGGGAAACCCUGAUGCAGCAACGCCGCGUGAAGGAAGACGGUUUUCGGAGUGUAAACUUCUGUUCUCAGUGAAGAAUAAUGACGGUCGCUCAGGAGCAAGCCACGGCUAACUACGUGCCAGCAGCCGCGGUAAUACGUAGGUGGCAAGCGUUGCCCGGAAUUACGGGGUGUAAAGGGAGCGCAGGCGGGAAGCCAAGUCAGCUGUGAAAACUACGGGCUUAACUUGGAGACUGCAGUUGAAACUGGUUUUCUUGAGUGAAGUAGAGGUAGGCGGAAUGCCGGGUGUAGCGGUGAAAUGCGUAGAUAUUCGGAGGAACACCGGUGGCGAAGGCGGCCUACUGGGCUUUAACUGACGCUGAGGCUCGAAAGUGUGGGGAGCAAACAGGAUUAGAUACCCGAGUAGUC
This 441-nucleotide ribosomal RNA is filed under the name uncultured bacterium. Its description in RNAcentral is "partial 16S ribosomal RNA". It matches the Rfam family "Bacterial small subunit ribosomal RNA", at positions 338 to 795 of the family's 1533-position model. The record is from RNAcentral.